UACAGAGGGGGCAAGCGUUGUUCGGAAUUACUGGGCGUAAAGGGCGCGUAGGCGGCCUGGCAAGUGGAAGGUGAAAUCCCUCGGCUUAACCGAGGAACUGCCCUCCAAACUGCUUGGCUUGAGUCCGGGAGAGGUGAGUGGAAUUCACAGUGUAGCGGUGAAAUGCGUAGAUAUUGGGAGGAACACCAGUGGCGAAGGCGGCUCACUGGACCGGAACUGACGCUGAGGCGCGAAAGCGUGGGGAGCAAACGGG
Molecule: ribosomal RNA, 253 nt
Filed under: uncultured bacterium
Lineage: Bacteria
Description: partial 16S ribosomal RNA
Rfam family: Bacterial small subunit ribosomal RNA
Source: RNAcentral